AAUUGUUUAGUAUAUUACAUUUGAUUUCCAAUCAAAAGUAGAAAGGCUGUAU
Molecule: transfer RNA, 52 nt
Filed under: Parachtes limbarae
Lineage: Eukaryota; Metazoa; Arthropoda; Arachnida; Araneae; Dysderidae
Description: tRNA-Gly
Source: RNAcentral